Molecule: non-coding RNA, 2738 nt
Organism: Rattus norvegicus (Norway rat)
Lineage: Eukaryota; Metazoa; Chordata; Mammalia; Rodentia; Muridae
Source: RefSeq, a predicted model, not a curated record
UUUUCUGCCAUGCUUUGGAACGAGUAGUACGCAACAGUCAUGUAGGAUCUCGGGGCGCAUGCGUGUUGCCAUAGAUGUUUGGCAGGAAUGAUUGAAACAGGCCACUGAGUUUGGGGCAGGAAAGACAGAGAGGGUGGAUUGGUGAGGACACGCAUUUCCAGGCAGAAAGUAUCUGCGCCCAGCAAUUGUGUUAGCAGGCAAUUUAAGAUGACCUUAGUUCAACUCCCAGCAGCCAUUUAGCCACACACAACCAUCUAUAACUCCAGUUCCAGCGGAUCUGAGACCUUCUUCUGACCUCUUCUGGUACAAGGCUUGCAUGUGGUACACAGACAUAUAUACAGGAGAGUCUCCAAAGUCUGGAGGAUGGGAUAUAGCUUCUAUUCCAGGGUAUUUGCAAAGAGUUCCUGCAGCCUGUGAAGAGGACCUGAGUUUGGUUUCCAGAACCCACCUCAGGCCGCUUUAACUCCAGAGAUCCAGAGAUCCAGUGCCUUCUUCUGGUUUCCAAGGGCGCGUGCACACACAGACACACACAGACACACACACACAUAAACACACAGACACACACACACAGAUACACACAGACACACACACACAUAAAACACACAGACACACACAUAAACACACACAGACAUACACAGACACACACACAGACACACACACACAUAAACACACAGACACACACACAGAUACACACAGACAUAAACACACACAUAAAACACACAGACACACACACACAUAAACACACACAGACAUACACAGACACACACACACAUAAACACACAGACACACACACACAUAAACACACACAGACAUACACAGACACACAUACAGACACACACACACAUAAACACACAGACACACACACACACUCACAUAAAUAAAAAUGAAUAAAUAAACCAAAUGCUUCCAUCCAAAGACAAUUCCAGUUAGCAUCUUCUUGCCUCUCUGUGUGCCAUUUUUCUGUAUACUAAUGAGAACUUAACCCACUCAACUUGACAGCAGGCAUCUAUUAUGUGUUGUUCCUUUUUGUCUCAUGAGCAUCUCCCUUCCAAUCACGGUGGCUUAGCACAUGUCAUUUGCAGUAUCUGCGGCACAGUCUGUAGAGAGAAGGCAUUGAAUUCACUUCAUCACUGGGAGGACGUCUCUUUUUUUUCUAGCGUUGUCCUUGUAUGAACAUUUAAUGACAAAUGACGUAGUCCAGUUAGGCUGCCCUUCAGCCACACAGAGAGAACUCUUUGUAGGCUCCCCUCAGGAAAGAGGCAGAAAAGUCAGAUUUCUAACUCCAUCAACACUGGUUCAAAGAAAAACCCCACACUUGCAAGAUGGUGGAGCUUUAAAGCAGAUACACGGAAUCAUGUUCAUAAAUGCAUUACUUAGCCUACCUCUUGCAUGCGUUAGUUGGAGGACUCGGAAGAGCACCUAGCCCACUUCCUGACUCUGAGUCGAUGUGCACAAUCUCCACAUAAAACUUAAUAUCCAACUGACCGAAAACACUGACCUUGCCAUAUGUGUGAUCUCUGGAAAUCAGUCCAUCCCUGGAUAUCGUUUUAUCUCGGUUCUCAAUAUUUCCCUUGCUGAAUGGCUCCCAGUUUCCCUCCACUGUCACUGGAGACUUGUUCUCUUUACUGAAGGACAGUGAGAGAAUCUCAUGAGUUCUGAUCACAAACCUCACGGGAUUCUAAGCAGUACAACGUUACAAAUUAGAAUCACUGAAGCCCUUUCAGAAGAAGGAGCAGCAGACACACCCAGAGAGACCUCUCCAAACCCUCACUCUCUCCAAAACCCACUGUGCUCCCAUGGCUUUUCUUUGACUGGGAAACAAUGAAUUCACACAAACACAAACCGAAAAACAAAGACCAAGACGGAAACUACAUCAAAAGCAGGGGCUAAUUUGGAAACAUCCAGGGCUCUGGUGGGCCAAGUUGGGUGUGACUCCCAAGGCUGCCACCCAAUGGGCUCCUUGAGGGGAACAGCUCGUCUCCCAGAUCAUCUUGGCUUCAGGUCUGUGCCUUUUCUUGACAGAGACACCUCAUUGUUCGAUUCUCCUUUGUGAGAUGUCUUAGUGGAGCUAUAAAUCACCCUGGAUCACCAGCAAGGCCUCCCUCCCAGGUGUCCCCAAGCCAACUGAACUUGACAAGACCUGAAAAUACUGUCACCCAUGUCCAGAUAGGGGUGGCUGUGAUCCAUCGUUAAUCUCGGAAGUGAGUAAGAGCUAAUGGUCCUGUUACCACAAAGUCCCCUGACAGCAAGGAACCUGCGCAUUCCUGUCCUGGCAUCCGGAAGAUUUGCGCUUCUCUUCUCAGGAGCAGAUGUGAGAGUCAGAGUUCAAAGGUUGAAAGACCUCCUAGAUGGAGGUUUUACUAGUCAUCAGCCAAGUCCAAGGGAGUUGGGUGUGAAGGUGAGAAAACAGCCAGGACUCCCAACCGCUCUGGCAAGUUACUGACACAUUAAUUGAAGAAAGUCACUCAGAAUUCUCAUCCGCUUUGCCUACCACACUGGAGUCUGCACACGGCCCAACGCACAGUUCCCAGACCCAAAGAAGAAGGCAUUGGUUAGGAACCAGGAGCCAGGCUGCUACAGUGUGGCUCGGUCUUUCUUGGCUUUUUUACUAUCUUGUUUUAUGAGGGUUUGGUGGGCAUGAGUGUCUUCUGGUGCAAGUGCUUAUUAAAUCCUGUGUAUAGAACCAGCAGUCAGCCUUGGGUGCUGGUCUUCGGGAACUGUCUACUUCCGGUCUUUAA